GCUGGUUCUUCCAGGAGCGCGCAUGAGCGGACGCUGCCUACUGGUGGCCGGGCGGGAUGUAACCGGCUGCUGAGCUGGCAGUUCUGUGUCGCUAGGCUUCUGCCCGGCCGCCGCCGCACAUAAGCCACGAGGAGGAGCUUUACGACUUCCCGGUCUUCGGCGCCGGGCGCAGCAAGGGCCAGACUCUGCGCUAGCAGGCGCUGCGCGCCAACCGGCCGGCACCUGUCGCAGAAGGUGCAACCGAUCGCACUGUCGCGCAGAAGCUCCUCAAUGGCCAGCGCCAGCUGCAGCCCCGGCCGCCCACUCGCCUCAUCUGAGCCUGGGCAAAUCUGGAUUGGGAAAGUUGACAUUAAUCAACUCAUUAUUCCUCACAGAUUUGUAUUCUCCAGAGUAUCCAGGUCCUUCUCAGAGAAUUAAAAAGCCUGUACAGGUCUAGAUAUUGGUAUUUUUAAUUGAUGAUAAGCUGGAAUAAUAUUAAUACACACAAAGCACGUGUUGUAACUUUCAUUAUGCUUCCUUAGAGCUCUGUUCACGGAAAGGGCCUGGGAGCUGCAACACCUCAACAGCAACAAGCACACCUGCUACCUAGAACUUGGUUUCUAAAAACCAUCCUCCUCUAAAAGGAAACAGAGCUCUUUGAAGAAACGGUGAGACAGUCAACAAACCUCUAACCACCGACCUUUUCUCCUCUGCCCUCCACUCACACUCUGCUCCAUCACCCUCAGCCACACAGCUGACGCUGUAGAGAUUCACUGACAUCCAGUCUGAUGGACACUGUUUCUCCAGCCGAAACUGCUCAUGAGAACAUGUGCAGUGAAGUGCUCCAGAGGCCCCAGCAUGCUACAUUACAGAAGACUGAACUCAGGAGAGAUGAGGAAUAAUCCCCUCCAUCACACCAGACACCAGGAGGGUGUGCCAAGGUAUUCUAAUAAUACUGCGUGACAUUACGGACAACUUAGCCUAAAUUAUGGAAAAUCAAAUUAUUUAGUAGAACUGCAAGACAAUCCUCUCAGUUGUUGUAAGGUAACUUUGCUGAACUUGUGAAGAAUGGUGUGCAAGGUCCAGAGCGACUGCAGGAGAGGGAAGGUGGGAUUCCCACAGAGCAGGAGCACAGAUAAGCCAAGCAAGGCCCUGCUUGGAAGGCAGCAAUCAACAGAGAUGCACAGACCUGUGAGGGUGCCGGGACAGCCAUGCAACAAUGCAGCCCUUUUGCUUCCUGAGCUCACCAGUUCCCUCGCUCCACCUCUGAGAGGUGGUUUGGAGAAACACAGCCCUUCUCAAGAGGGCUGCAAGCUACUUAAGUCCUGAAAAUUUCCACAAGGCUGAGUCAAAUCUGCGUUUCAUCAUCUAUAAGAAAGGUACCUAUCGAGAACACCCUGCUGGCCAGUGUGUAAAUAUCUAAAGGAGGACUCAGAAAACACCGGGGAAGUCCAGCCUGCACGUGGUGGCUGGGCUUCAGUGAAGCAUGCAGCACAACAGGAGUUAGCAGACCACAAAGAGCAUGUCUGGACCUAGAACCACAGCAUGUAACCUCGGAAGCAGUGAGACACCAGCCAGCAUGGACAAGCAGCAGGCACUUGCUCUAUACC
This 1589-nucleotide long non-coding RNA is filed under the name Homo sapiens (human). RNAcentral's name for it is "HSALNT0289602". Lineage: Eukaryota; Metazoa; Chordata; Mammalia; Primates; Hominidae. The record is from RNAcentral.